This 362-nucleotide ribosomal RNA is filed under the name uncultured microorganism. Its description in RNAcentral is "SSU rRNA". It matches the Rfam family "Eukaryotic small subunit ribosomal RNA", at positions 587 to 972 of the family's 1831-position model. The record is from RNAcentral.
AUCUCCAAUAGUGUAUCUUAAUGUUGUUGCAGUUAAAAAGCUCGUAGUUGAAUUUCUGGCCGGCUGGUCACCCUCAGGGGUCGAUCUUGGCUAGGUCAUCCGCAUUGGAAGGCAUUGCGUCCGAAAGGUCCAGUGUUGGAAGGUGCAUUUUACUUUGAAGAAAUUAGAGUGUUCCAGGCAGGCUAUGCUUGAAUACAACAGCAUGGAAUAAUGGAAUAGGACAUUGUCUAUUUGAUUGGUUAUUGGACUUUGUAAUGAUUAACAGGGACAGUUGGGGGCAUUCGUAUUCAAUAGUCAGAGGUGAAAUUCUUGGAUUUAUUGAAGACGAACAGAUGCGAAAGCGUUUGCCAAGGAUGUUUUCA